Molecule: ribosomal RNA, 529 nt
Filed under: uncultured bacterium
Lineage: Bacteria
Description: partial 16S ribosomal RNA
Rfam family: Bacterial small subunit ribosomal RNA
Source: RNAcentral
UGGGGAAUAUUGCACAAUGGGCGCAAGCCUGAUGCAGCCAUGCCGCGUGUGUGAAGAAGGCCUUCGGGUUGUAAAGCACUUUCAGCGAGGAGGAAGGUGGUGAGCUUAAUACGCUCAUCAAUUGACGUUACUCGCAGAAGAAGCACCGGCUAACUCCGUGCCAGCAGCCGCGGUAAUACGGAGGGUGCAAGCGUUAAUCGGAAUUACUGGGCGUAAAGCGCUCGCAGGCGGUUUGUUAAGUCAGAUGUGAAAUCCCCGGGCUCAACCUGGGAACUGCAUUUGAAACUGGCAAGCUAGAGUCUCGUAGAGGGGGGUAGAAUUUCCAGGUGUAGCGGUGAAAUGCGUAGAGAUCUGGAGGAAUACCGGUGGCGAAGGCGGCCCCCCUGGACGAAGACUGACGCUCAGGUGCGAAAGCGUGGGGCAGCAAACAGGAUUAGAUACCCUGGUAGUCCAGCGCUGUAAACGAUGUCGAUUUGGAGGUUGUGCCCCUUGAGGCGUGGCUUCCGGAGCUAACGCGUUAAAUCGACCG